CCUACGGGAGGCAGCAGUGAGGAAUAUUGGUCAAUGGUCGGGAGACUGAACCAGCCAAGCCGCGUGAGGGAUGAAGGUACAGAGUAUCGUAAACCUCUUUUGUCAGGGAACAAAGGCGGGGACGUGUCCCCGGAUGAGUGUACCUGAAGAAAAUGCAUCGGCUAACUCCGUGCCAGCAGCCGCGGUAAUACGGAGGAUGCGAGCGUUAUCCGGAUUUAUGGGGUUUAAAGGGUGCGCAGGCGGUCUGUUAAGUCAGCGGUCAAAGCCCGGGGCUCAACCCCGGCCCGCCGUUGAAACUGGCAGUCUCGAGUUGGAGAGAAGUAUGCGGAAUGCGCGGUGUAGCGGUGAAAUGCAUAGAUAUCGCGCAGAACUCCGAUUGCGAAGGCAGCAUGCCGGCUCCACACUGACGCUGAGGCACGAAAGCGUGGGUAUCGAACAGGAUUAGAUACCCGGGUAGUC
Molecule: ribosomal RNA, 459 nt
Filed under: uncultured bacterium
Lineage: Bacteria
Description: partial 16S ribosomal RNA
Rfam family: Bacterial small subunit ribosomal RNA
Source: RNAcentral